This 484-nucleotide ribosomal RNA is filed under the name uncultured bacterium. RNAcentral describes it as "partial 16S ribosomal RNA". It matches the Rfam family "Bacterial small subunit ribosomal RNA", at positions 28 to 507 of the family's 1533-position model. The record is from RNAcentral.
AUUGAACGCUGGCGGCAUGCUUUACACAUGCAAGUCGAACGGCAGCGCGGGCUUCGGCCUGGCGGCGAGUGGCGAACGGGUGAGUAAUGCAUCGGAACGUGCCCAGUAGUGGGGGAUAGCCCGGCGAAAGCCGGAUUAAUACCGCAUACGACCCGAGGGUGAAAGCGGGGGACCGGAAGGCCUCGCGCUAUUGGAGCGGCCGAUGUCGGAUUAGCUAGUUGGUGGGGUAGAGGCUUACCAAGGCGACGAUCCGUAGCUGGUCUGAGAGGACGACCAGCCACACUGGGACUGAGACACGGCCCAGACUCCUACGGGAGGCAGCAGUGGGGAAUUUUGGACUAUGGGGGCAACCCUGAUCCAGCCAUGCCGCGUGCGGGAAGAAGGCCUUCGGGUUGUAAACCGCUUUUGUUCGGGAAGAAAUCCUCUGGGCUAAUACCCCGGGGGGAUGACGGUACCGGAAGAAUAAGCACCGGCUAACUACGUG